This 75-nucleotide transfer RNA is filed under the name Mercenaria mercenaria. Its description in RNAcentral is "transfer RNA arginine (anticodon UCU)". It matches the Rfam family "tRNA". Rfam says of the family: Transfer RNA (tRNA) molecules are approximately 80 nucleotides in length. Their secondary structure includes four short double-helical elements and three loops (D, anti-codon, and T loops). Lineage: Eukaryota; Metazoa; Mollusca; Bivalvia; Venerida; Veneridae. The record is from RNAcentral.
GGCCGGUUAGCUCAACUGGAUUAGAGCAUCACUCCUCUAAAGUGCAGGUUGUGGGUUCGAGUCCCACACCGGCCC